UCUGUCCAAGAAAGGGCAACCUUCUCUUUGCGUCGUCAUACUCCACGACAAUCUCGGAGCCGUCAACUACGCCCUUAAUUCACUGCGACUUGAAUUGGAGUAUGGAGAAGCUUUUUUCGAUUUUUUCCACGUCAAGAAUUGCAUCUAACGCAACAACGAGGAAACGCCACUCUUGUGGGCUGUGGAAAAUGUCGCCAGCUACCACAUAACCAUUUCGAGAUUUCUCCAGAUGGAACCAAUCACAUUCGACAUGAAGGAUGCCCAAGGCUCCACCAAACAUCGUCUGGUGAACAGAAUUUCAAUCCGCAAUUGGACGAGCAAGUCAUCAACAACGACCAUUCGGUUCGUCCAUUUCCAAUCUUCCGCUCAGCCAAGAGCCUUUUUUUCAUCAAAUACCCUUGGAUUCUUGAAGAUAUCGUGGCCAUAAAUCAACCCCUGCCAGCCGACUGGCAGGAGAAACACGUCCAGAUGCUGUUUCAGCGCGAUAUACUC
This is a long non-coding RNA of Daphnia pulex (common water flea), 492 nucleotides long. RefSeq lists it as uncharacterized. The transcript is spliced from 5 exons. The record is from RefSeq and is a predicted model, not a curated record. Lineage: Eukaryota; Metazoa; Arthropoda; Branchiopoda; Diplostraca; Daphniidae.